AGAACGAACGCUGGCGGCAGGCUUAACACAUGCAAGUCGAACGCUCGUAGCAAUACGGGAGUGGCAGACGGGUGAGUAACGCGUGGGAACAUACCCUCCGGUUCGGAAUAGCUCAGGGAAACUUGGAUUAAUACCGGAUACGGCCGAGAGGCGAAAGAUUUAUCGCCGGAGGAUUGGCCCGCGUUCGAUUAGCUAGUUGGUGAGGUAACGGCUCACCAAGGCGAUGAUCGAUAGCUGGUCUGAGAGGAUGAUCAGCCACAUUGGGACUGAGACACGGCCCAAACUCCUACGGGAGGCAGCAGUGGGAUAUUGGACAAUGGGCGCAAGCCUGAUCCAGCCAUGCCGCGUGAGUGAUGACGGCCUUAGGGUGUAAAGCUCUUUCGCUCGGGACGAUAAUGACGGUACCGAGAUAAGAAGCCCCGGCUAACUUCGUGCCAGCAGCCGC
This 445-nucleotide ribosomal RNA is filed under the name uncultured bacterium. RNAcentral describes it as "SSU rRNA". It matches the Rfam family "Bacterial small subunit ribosomal RNA", at positions 26 to 518 of the family's 1533-position model. The record is from RNAcentral.